UUGCUUUGGCAACACAUAUACUAAAAUUGGAACGAUACAGAGAAGAUUAGCAUGGCCCUUGCGCAAGGAUCAUGCACAAAUUCAUGAAGCAUUCCAUAUUUUU
Molecule: small nuclear RNA, 103 nt
Filed under: Phascolarctos cinereus (koala)
Lineage: Eukaryota; Metazoa; Chordata; Mammalia; Diprotodontia; Phascolarctidae
Source: RNAcentral